This 461-nucleotide ribosomal RNA is filed under the name uncultured Planctomycetaceae bacterium. RNAcentral describes it as "bacterial SSU rRNA". It matches the Rfam family "Bacterial small subunit ribosomal RNA", at positions 29 to 505 of the family's 1533-position model. Lineage: Bacteria; Pseudomonadati; Planctomycetota; Planctomycetia; Planctomycetales; Planctomycetaceae. The record is from RNAcentral.
AAUGAACGUUGGCGGCGUGGAUUAGGCAUGCAAGUCGAGCGAGAAACUUUUAAAAGAUACUUCGGUUGAUUUUAAAAGCGGACAGCGGCGAAAGGGAGAGUAACGAGUAGAUUACGUACCCGAGGGUCUGGGAUAGCUGCGGGAAACUGCAGGUAAUACCGGAUAAUAUUUCCGAAUCAAAGAUUUAUCGCCCUCGGAGCGGUCUGCUUACUAUUAGCUAGUUGGUGGGGUAAAGGCCUACCAAGGCUGAGAUGGUUAGCGGGUGUGAGAGCAUGGCCCGUCUCACUGGGACUGAGACACUGCCCAGACACCUACGGGUGGCUGCAGUCGAGAAUCUUCCGCAAUGGGCGAAAGCCUGACGAAGCGACGCCGCGUGCGGGAUGAAGGCCUUCGGGUUGUAAACCGCUGUCAGUAGGGAGGAAAUUUUGACCGAUCUACAGAGGAAGCACAGGCUAAGUUCG